RNAcentral lists this small RNA (375 nucleotides) under Bacillus sp. CECT 9360. RNAcentral's name for it is "cspA". It matches the Rfam family "cspA thermoregulator". Lineage: Bacteria; Bacillati; Bacillota; Bacilli; Caryophanales; Bacillaceae. The record is from RNAcentral.
UGUUAUUCUAAGAAAGAAUUAUUUUUGUUCGGGAUAAACGAUAGUAAAUGCUUUUUACCGUCUUCAUAUCACUUAGAGCAAGGAUAGUAAUACAUUGUGUGUUUACACACUGGGAGGCAAUUUUAAAUGGAACAAGGUAAAGUAAAAUGGUUCAACGCAGAAAAAGGUUUUGGCUUCAUCGAACGUGAAGGUGGAGACGAUGUAUUCGUACACUUCUCAGCUAUUCAAGGCGACGGAUUCAAAUCUCUUGAAGAAGGCCAGGACGUGACUUUUGAAGUAGAACAAGGCCAACGCGGACCACAAGCUUCUAACGUUCAAAAAGCAUAAUUACUACUCGUUUUAAAAACAGAUCCGAUGAAUAUCGGGUCUGUUUUU